GUUAAGAAGGUAACGUUUGAAGAAUGAUUAUGCAUUAAAAUUUACAAUAUUUUCAAUAUUGCAAUGUCAUUUUCAAAAUUUUGAAAGAGUUGAAGAGAUACAUUUUAGCUGCCAAGUCAAUGUACAAUUGAUUGACAACUUACAUUGAAUCUUAAAACUAUUUUUUUGUAAAAGAAUAUUUUGAAAUAGUUCUUGUAGCUGAUCGAUAAUCGAUAGUCAAUAAUCAAGCAAAUGUACGAGCAAAAAAUUGCCGCGAUUGGCGAAUUGUUGGUGAUUGUGAAAUAACACGAAGCGAAGAGAAAUUUAGGAAUUGGUGAUAUUUUGGUAGUUUCGGUUUAUGUAAGUAAUCGAGCAAGAGCCCACGUGUUUCCGUCACGGAACGGAAAUUCGACGAUUUCUUCGAAUAUUUCACUCGCAUCGAUUGUAGGUUACCUUGCACCACACUGCUACUUAAAAUAUUCCGGUUCGUAUAUAUAUCUUUUAUAAAUAGUGUUUUAUGAUAUUUUUAGCUAGUUUUCGUAGAAUCGGUGCGUCUCUAUGAUCAAGAUUCGUGGCGAGAACGUAAGUAAGGACGACAGUAAGGAAAGCUUUAGCUUGGUUUUAAUAGUGUCGGCGAUCUACAAUCGAACGACGAAAGUCACUCGCGUAAGAGUUGUCGAGAAAUCGAUCUUCGACCAUUAGUUCUUAUUACAUUCGAGAAUUCGUUAGCUCGGCAUUCCGUGGCGGCCAGAAUUUCUGUUUCAUAAUAACGCAGAUGCCCCUCGUCGAGGUCUCUUAAGCGGAAAACGGGAGUGAAGAAAAUAGAAUGAGGAUCGAGUUGAUCAAGUCGAAUCGAACCGAGAUGACUCAUAAAUAAGGAUGGAAAAUGAAGAGGACGAAGAAUGAAAGUUAAUUAGGUCAUCUCCUAAUUGUGGACGUUAAAUUUAAAGAUACAAAAUUGGAUAGGAUGCACACAAAAAUAUAGAAAUUAUUUGAUGUACUAUUUUGAUCAGAAAAAUUAUCGUUAAAUAGAAAUUGAUCGGAAUUUGGAUAUCAAUGAUUGUCUAGUAAUCAUAUGAAAUGGAUCUACAUGACAUUAAUAUAAGACUAUCAUUAGAGGAAUACACGAGAAAAAGAUAAGUAUAUUUUUGUCCAUUCUUUGAUUUUUAUAUCACUUACUUACAAUUAAUAAAUAUGAUGAUUGU
Molecule: long non-coding RNA, 1184 nt
Organism: Frieseomelitta varia
Lineage: Eukaryota; Metazoa; Arthropoda; Insecta; Hymenoptera; Apidae
Exons: 3
Source: RefSeq, a predicted model, not a curated record